GAUGAACGCUGGCGGCGUGCUUAACACAUGCAAGUCGAACGGAAAGGCUCCUGCUUGCAGGGGUACUCGAGUGGCGAACGGGUGAGUAACACGUGGGUGAUCUGCCCUGCACUUCGGGAUAAGCCUGGGAAACUGGGUCUAAUACCGGAUAGGACCACAUUUUGGAUGGUGUGGUGGAAAGUUUUUCGGUGUGGGAUGAGCUCGCGGCCUAUCAGCUUGUUGGUGGGGUAAUGGCCUACCAAGGCGUCGACGGGAAGCCGGCCUGAGAGGGUGUACGGCCACAUUGGGACUGAGAUACGGCCCAGACUCCUACGGGAGGCAGCAGUGGGGAAUAUUGCACAAUGGGCGCAAGCCUGAUGCAGCGACGCCGCGUGGGGGAUGACGGCCUUCGGGUUGUAAACUCCUUUCGCUAGGGACGAAGCGCAAGUGACGGUACCUGGAGAAGAAGCACCGGCUAACUACGUG
RNAcentral lists this ribosomal RNA (465 nucleotides) under uncultured bacterium. Its description in RNAcentral is "partial 16S ribosomal RNA". It matches the Rfam family "Bacterial small subunit ribosomal RNA", at positions 28 to 507 of the family's 1533-position model. The record is from RNAcentral.